AUAUCAAUAAGCGGAGGAAAAGAAACUAACAAGGAUUCCCCUAGUAACGGCGAGUGAAGCGGGAUGAGCUCAAAUUUAAAAUCUGGCUGGUUUACCGGUCCGAGUUGUAGUUUAAAGAAGCGUUUUCGGUGGCAGCCUGGGUAUAAAUCCUUUGGAACAGGGUAUCAUAGAGGGUGAGAAUCCCGUCUUUGACUCAGUGCUAUGUUACUAUGUGAUACGUUUUCAAAGAGUCGAGUUGUUUGGGAAUGCAGCUCAAAAUGGGUGGUAAAUUUCAUCUAAGGCUAAAUAUUGGCGAGAGACCGAUAGCGAACAAGUACCGUGAGGGAAAGAUGAAAAGAACUUUGAAAAGAGAGUUAAACAGUGCGUGAAAUUGUUGAAAGGGAAACGUUUGACACCAGCUAUGCAGGCGAAAAAUCAGUCAACUGCAGUAAGGGGUUGUGUGGGUCCGGACCGCAAGGCCGGCCUGUAUUUCACCUUUGCUUUAGGUGAUGCACUUUUUCGUCCGCAGGUCAACAUCAGUUUCGCUUGCUGGACAAAACUGCAAGAGAAGGUAGCAGCUUAGGCUGUGUUAUAGCUCUGGAGCGAUACAGUGGGUGGGACUGAGGAUUCGCAAUGUGUGCUCUCGGGCAAGGCCGACUGGGUGCUGUGGGGUUGUUUGGCGUACAAAGCAUGCAUUUUGCGCCUUGUCUUCUUCAUACUCGCUCAAUUCGGCUCUUCCACGCUUAGGAUGUUGACUUAAUGGUUUUAAACGA
RNAcentral lists this ribosomal RNA (752 nucleotides) under uncultured fungus. RNAcentral's name for it is "eukaryotic LSU rRNA". It matches the Rfam family "Eukaryotic large subunit ribosomal RNA", at positions 40 to 647 of the family's 3401-position model. Lineage: Eukaryota; Fungi. The record is from RNAcentral.